RNAcentral lists this ribosomal RNA (253 nucleotides) under uncultured bacterium. Its description in RNAcentral is "partial 16S ribosomal RNA". It matches the Rfam family "Bacterial small subunit ribosomal RNA", at positions 524 to 776 of the family's 1533-position model. The record is from RNAcentral.
UACGGAGGGUGCAAGCGUUAUCCGGAUUCACUGAGUUUAAAGGGUGCGUAGGCGGGUAAGUAAGUCCGUGGUGAAAUCUCUGAGCUUAACUCAGAAACUGCCGUGGAUACUAUUUGCCUUGAAUAUUGUGGAGGUGAGCGGAAUAUGUCAUGUAGCGGUGAAAUGCUUAGAUAUGACAUAGAACACCAAUUGCGAAGGCAGCUCACUACACAAUCAUUGACGCUGAGGCACGAAAGCGUGGGGAUCAAACAGG